GCUGGGCACAGUGGCACAUGCCUGUAAUCCCAGCGGCUGGGGAGGCUGAGGCAGGAAGGUCUCGAGUUCAAAGCCAGCCUCAGCAAAAGUGAGGUGCUAAGCAACUCAGUGAGACCCUGUCUCUA
This 125-nucleotide small RNA is filed under the name Marmota monax (woodchuck). Lineage: Eukaryota; Metazoa; Chordata; Mammalia; Rodentia; Sciuridae. The record is from RNAcentral.